RNAcentral lists this ribosomal RNA (464 nucleotides) under uncultured bacterium. RNAcentral's name for it is "partial 16S ribosomal RNA". It matches the Rfam family "Bacterial small subunit ribosomal RNA", at positions 29 to 507 of the family's 1533-position model. The record is from RNAcentral.
ACGCACGCUGGCGGCGUGCUUAACACAUGCCAGUCGCACGGAAAGGCCCUGCUUGCAGGGUACUCGAGUGGCGAACGGGUGAGUAACACGUGGGUGAUCUGCCCUGCACUUCGGGAUAAGCCUGGGAAGCUGGGUCUAAUACCGGAUAGGAGCCAUUUUUAGUGUGAUGGUUGGAAAGUUUUUUCGGUGUAGGAUGAGCUCGCGGCCUAUCAGCUUGUUGGUGGGGUAAUGGCCUACCAAGGCGGCGACGGGUAGCCGGCCUGAGAGGGUGGACGGCCACAUUGGGACUGAGAUACGGCCCAGACUCCUACGGGAGGCAGCAGUGGGGAAUAUUGCACAAUGGGCGCAAGCCUGAUGCAGCGACGCCGCGUGGGGGAUGACGGCCUUCGGGUUGUAAACUCCUUUCGCUAGGGACGAAGCUUUUUGUGACGGUACCUAGAGAAGAAGCACCGGCUAACUACGUG